GUCUACAGCCAUGCCGCCCUGAACAAGCCCGAUGUCUGAUCUCGGAAGCUAAGCAGGGUUGGGCCUGGUUAGUACUUAGAUGGGAGACCAUGUAGGAAGACCAUAAGAUGCUGUAGGCA
Molecule: ribosomal RNA, 119 nt
Filed under: Pteropus alecto (black flying fox)
Lineage: Eukaryota; Metazoa; Chordata; Mammalia; Chiroptera; Pteropodidae
Source: RNAcentral